This is a long non-coding RNA of Phacochoerus africanus (Common warthog), 1078 nucleotides long. RefSeq lists it as uncharacterized. The record is from RefSeq and is a predicted model, not a curated record. The transcript is spliced from 4 exons. NCBI's taxonomy places the organism in Eukaryota, Metazoa, Chordata, Mammalia, Artiodactyla, Suidae.
AGUAGGAAAGGAAGAGAGGAAGUAAGGACUCCUGGAGACAGUUUAGGCUACAUGCUAGCCUUGUUCUUAUAAUGCAGAACUAGAGGUAGGGAAUUUUGCUCAGAAGGCUAAAAGCAAUAUACAAUGAAGAGAAAAUCCUAAAAGAUAAGAUGCGGGUCACUGUCUCCACUUCGGGCACCUGAAAGGAGAGAGUUGUAGGUUCUCUGACGAGCACUCAACUUCAAUGGAAGCAGAACAGCAGAUCAUCCCAAAACAGUUUUUAGCAGAGAUUUGAUAAACAGCAGUGUCCUCUGGGGUACAGCUAGGAUGAAGAGAAGAUACAGGCCAUAAUCCCUCUGCUGGACAAACCGGCUACCCUGAAGAUACGAUGACUUCUGUGGAAAGAAGAGAAAGAAAGAAAAGAAAACAAGCCCGAGAGGCACAAAGGACCAGGAUGUACAAUGUCAAGAGUGAGCCUUGGUGUCAACCGUGGACUUGGGGUGAUAAAGACGCAUCAGUGGAGACUCAUCAGCGACAACCGUCCCACUCUGGUGGGGGAUAUGGACAGAGGGAGAGUCUGCAUUGGGGGCAGGAGUGGAUACAUAGAAAUUGUGCUUUCUGCUCCAUUUUGCUCUGAACCUAACACUGCCCUCAAAAACAGUCUAGUGAAUUCCAGUGCCUGGAAGCCACCAAGAAAAUCAGUGAACCAGCAACGCAGGGUGAAGGGCUUCACCACUGGUGUUUUUUAAGCCUCCUGGGUAAUGGUAACGGGCAGUCAGAGUUCAGAAAGCAUUAGCUCCGGUACCUAGUGAAGGAGGGAGGGGAUGACAGAGGAGGGAUUUCAGCCUGGAUGUGAAUGGGGAAUGGUUUCCUGGCUCUUGUUUGGCACAAAAGUACUGAGCUUUUGACAGCUUUUUGAGCCUCUGGGACCAAAUGCAGACCAACCAGACAUUCUCUGAACAAGGAAUGGGCAAAAUGAUUUCAGAAAGGAAAGCCUCUCAUGGCCUGACUGACAACAGGCUUAGUUAACAGAUGACUGACUCCUCUUAUCAAAAGAAAACUCAAAGGAGUUCCCCAGUGGUCUAGUGGUUAGGAUUCA